Molecule: ribosomal RNA, 254 nt
Filed under: uncultured bacterium
Lineage: Bacteria
Description: partial 16S ribosomal RNA
Rfam family: Bacterial small subunit ribosomal RNA
Source: RNAcentral
UACGUAGGCAGCAAGCGUUGUUCGGAGUUACUGGGCGUAAAGGGUGCGUAGGCGGUCCUAUAAGUAUGGUGUGAAAUCUCCCGGCUUAACUGGGAGGGUGCGCUAUAGACUGUGGGACUAGAGUGUGGGAGAGGAAAGUGGAAUUCCUGGUGUAGCGGUGAAAUGCGUAGAUAUCAGGUGGAACACCGAUGGCGAAGGCAGCACUCUGGCCGAGUUACUGACGCUGAGGAGCGAAAGCGUGGGGAGCGAACAGG